Molecule: ribosomal RNA, 433 nt
Filed under: uncultured bacterium
Lineage: Bacteria
Description: partial 16S ribosomal RNA
Rfam family: Bacterial small subunit ribosomal RNA
Source: RNAcentral
AACGAACGCUGGCGGCAUGCCUAACACAUGCAAGUCGAACGAGACCUUCGGGUCUAGUGGCGCACGGGUGCGUAACGCGUGGGAACCUGCCCUUAGGUUCGGAAUAACUCCCCGAAAGGGGUGCUAAUACCGGUUAAUGUCUUCGGACCAAAGAUUUAUCGCCUUUGGAUGGGCCCGCGUUGGAUUAGCUAGUUGGUAGGGUAAAAGCCUACCAAGGCGACGAUCCAUAGCUGGUCUGAGAGGAUGAUCAUCCACACUGGGACUGAGACACGGCCCAGACUCCUACGGGAGGCAGCAGUGUGGAAUAUUGGACGAUGGGCGAAAGCGUGAUCCAGCAAUGCCGGGUGAGUGAUGAAGGCCUUAGGGUUGUAAAGCUCUUUUACACGGGAUGAUAAUGACAGUACCGGGAGAAUAAGCACCGGCUAACUCCGUG